GCCGCUUCGGGAACCUCAAACGCCCGGGCGCCCCGCCCUCCUCCCACUUUGGGGGCCCCGCUCAAGGUCUCCGGGUCUGGAAGGAUGUUGGAGCCGUGGGGCCGUGGAACGGUUCAUGUGGCAGUUGGAGAACGGGACCUGGCUGGGCAGGACAGCCCUGAUAGCUCCACCCCUGCCUUCCCCAGGGAUACACCUUUAGAGAUCUACGCUCUGAUGUCGGGACCUGGCAACCAUCCCAAGGAGCCCAUUUAGGGCCAACCUCUGGAACUGACCGAUCGGGGCCAUCUCCACGGGAUCUGCAGUGUCAUCAGAUUACCUGCAAGCCUGUAGAAGAGGAAGGAUAUGCCAGUGAUCACUUCGGAGGUGACAGAGGAACCUUCCUUUCCUUACGCUCAUUAUACAUAUGAGGAAACUGAAAGCACAAAAAGCUCCUGGCACCCACCAUUCUACUUUCUGUCUCUAUGAAUUUGACUACCUCAUUCUCCUAGAGAAUAUUCGGUCCCCUGAUGGCUCCCUUGAAGAGCACCACUGGCAACAUGGAUGGACCUGGAGAUUAUUAUACAAGUG
Molecule: long non-coding RNA, 567 nt
Organism: Mesoplodon densirostris (Blainville's beaked whale)
Lineage: Eukaryota; Metazoa; Chordata; Mammalia; Artiodactyla; Ziphiidae
Exons: 4
Source: RefSeq, a predicted model, not a curated record